This 7754-nucleotide transfer RNA is filed under the name Homo sapiens (human). RNAcentral describes it as "HSALNT0333366". The stretch from base 7170 to 7242 matches the Rfam family "tRNA". The record is from RNAcentral. Lineage: Eukaryota; Metazoa; Chordata; Mammalia; Primates; Hominidae.
AUGCACGUGUACACACAUGCAUGCAUACACACAUGCAUUUGUAGAUAUAUGUGUAGGUGUGUACACACAACAUACACAUAUGCAUCCACACAUACACAUAUACAUAUGAGGUGGCACGUUCAGCUUUCAAGAGGACCAUCAGGGACUUUGUCACCUUGACAACUUUAGCCUUGCCUUCUAGUCACCUUGCCGGAACACUUGUGCCCGUGUUUUUCUAGCACUGUCAUAAGAAUACUUUUACCUAUCAAGGCAACUGGGGGUUAGGAGAGCUUUUUGCACAGGAGGCUACUUGGCUUUGUUUGAAAACUGAUGAUACAUGAGGAUUGGGGUGGUGAAUCACUCACAUGUUUCUUCAUAUGAAAAAUGAGGACUGUGGGAUUCUCUGGCUGGAUCUCAGCACCUAGAAAUGGAUCUGGGCAAUAGGAACUGCUCAGUAUUAGCUACCGCUUUGGUUGCCUUCUCCUUGCGGAAAGCUGGCCUCUCACACUGAAUUUGUAUCAUAGGCACUCAUGAGGGUCUUGACUGUAUCAAUAUCUGAUGAGAGAUUUUAGUGCAGUUCUGUUAUCGUGGCUGAUUUGCUCAUUUGGUAGCUAGCAUCCAGCUUCUUGUGAACAUUAAAAUAAAAUAAAAUAGAUUAUGGAGGAAUAGAAUACAGAUACGUAGUAAGGUAUUAUUUUCCAGACAAAAUGGAUUUGGAUAAAAGAAUCUAAUUAAGAACUUGUGCAUGAUUCUUUUAAAAUUCUUUUGAAUCCAUUUUUUUUUUUUUGGCCUGUUUUCAAGUCUCCGAUUUUUGUCACCCUUCUCACACCAGGUCAGAGAGAUAGCUAAUGGUCAGAAGGAAUCUUCCAGCAAUGACCAUAGCGCUUUCUCCUGCCUGCAGAUGCCUCUUUUUAUUCAGCCUUUAUGGGAAGUAGCAGCACCAUCCAGUUCUCAGAGAGCAAGCUCUGGAGUAACUGAGCUAACCCCAGUUACCCCAGUGGAUUUACAGAUUGAGGUUACAACCCAGCAGGGUUCUCUUCCUGGAAAGAAUAGCCUUCCCUCUAAGGUUUCAAAUAGACCCUGGGUGAGGAAGGAGCCCUAAACAGCUUGAAAAAUUGAAUGCUCUUUGGGCAAAGCAGGAAGCCGUCCUAUGGAAGAGCAUCAUUUGAGCAUAAAUCAGGUUAUCAGGACAAACAGAGUGUUCAGGAGGUCAAGAUGGUUAAGCAGAGACCCUGACCAGAAUGUCCGUGGCGGAGAGAAACAAUCUUGUUGGGAAAAGGAUGACAAUAAUUGGGGACUUAGAAUAAAGGCUAAAAAUGAUUCAAAGAGAAUGCAAAAAGAAUCAGGCACAAAUCGUUUACUAUACUCUGUUAUGCAAAUCUCACCUUACUAUGUGUUUGUAUUCUAUUCCUCCACAAUCUUUAUUUUAUUUUAAUGUUCAAAGAGACUUGUAGGUGCCAAUUAAAUGAACAAAACAGCCAGAGACAACAGAACUGCCCUAAAAAAAGUCCCGCAUCAGCUCUUGAGAGCAGGUUCCUUAAAGGUGAACAAUAUUCCACAUACAAGGACUUUUUCAGCACCAUGCAUUAGAAAUGGAAGUGAAUGUUUAUUAUUUUUUGUAUAAGUUGGUUGAUAUGGCUUUUCAGCUUCCCUCAGUAUCAUUAUCCAAAUUUUGUAGAUGACACUAAAGCUCAGAGGAGUUAAACCAUUUUCCUUAAAUCACAUAGCUUUAAAUAGGAAAACCAGAUAUGAAAAGCAGAUUUUUUUUCUAAAUUAAAAAACCAAAAACAAAAACACGUGAGCUCUUGCUUUACCCUAGCACAUAGUCUUGCCAUCUGUUUUCUCCACACCAGGUGAUUCCUGUAACAUUCAUUCACAUAACAAAUACAAAUAAAUGAGUGGAUUCAUUCAUCAGAUAUUAAUUCAGAAUCCCUUUUGUGCCUUCCAGAAAUCUGGACCAUCUCACAACCCCCAGAGAGUCUCAGCUACAAGGAACAAGUGAUAAUGCCAUCCCACUUUUAUAAACACACACACACACACAUGCAAUACACACACAAUCAUUUAAUCAUUUUUAAUUAUUUAAUUAUUUUUUAAAAAUCAGUGACACUUUAGCUGGGCAGGUCUAGAUAGGUCUUCUUUGCUGGGACGUGUCUUUUUCUGUCCUGGAAUACCCUAAACUUCACAUUUUGGCAGCGUGAGUUUUCCCUUUGUGACUUUCUCCUUCUUCCCUUUUUUCCUCCUUCUUUGCAGAGAAUGAGUAGCCACUGCACCUUGCCCUGCGCCAUCAAUGAGAAGAUCUGCUCUUAGUAGAGCCCUGCUUUCCCGCUGAAGGCCCUGAAAUCACCUGUGUUCCAGGCCACCCACUAAGGAUAAACAAAGCUUCCCUGAUAUGGGGAAUUAGCUCAAGUGGUAGAGCGCUUGCUUAGCAUGCAAGAGGUAGUGGGAUCAAUGCCCACAUUCUCCAAGCUUUAUUAUUUAGGUACCCAAACCCGAGUCAGUGUCUGAGAGCAAGACACUGCUCUCGGUGUCUUUGGUUCAAGACAUAGGAGCAGCAACAAUACAGGACUGGUGACAGCUUCCUGCUGGCAUUCAGUAUAGUGUAGAUCUACUGUGUAAUUAAUUUUCUGUUUCUUCGAGGAGCUGUGAAACCAAAGGACAUAUAAAACUGCUCUUUUCUCCCUGUUUCUGCCUGCAGCUUGGUCCUAAAUGUGAGACAAUUGUGAAAAGUGGAGGACAGAGCCACCUGGUUAAAUACAGCCCCAGCUUUCUGGUGAGAGGACUGAAACCAAGAUGUGUCAAGUAACUAGAAUGUGCCUGGACAGAUACUGUAGAAAGCAAAACCAUAAAGUUGUUCAUGAGCUUGUGGACGCACCUGCCAGCUGUGAAUAAGUGGCUCUAAUCCCGAACAACUUACCUAAAAAGAGCCUGAGAGCUGAACUGUGCAAUGGCCCACUUUCCAGUCCUCACUGACCACUGGGUUGCACACACUUUGGAGAUCUCUGAACAGCAGUGUCAAGGCUUUCAAAUAGAGUUAUCUUUGAAACGACAACACAUGAAAGUCUGGUUGGUACUUGGAGCUUAAAUACAAGGCAAUUGUGUGCCUGCAAAAACAAAAAUAGCAAUAUUAUCCUUAAGAUUUCAACAAGACACAGUGUCUCAUCACAUAAUCCAAAGAAGUCCAGGUUACAAGCCCCACAAUAUUCAGCAUUAUGAAAAAACAGGGAGAUCUUAAUUCACAUGGCAAAGAGAAUCCUCGAAUAACAAUAUUGAGAGGACACAGAUGUCAAAAUCAUCUGACACAUACAUUAAAGCAGAUAUUAUAACAAUGCUCCUAGAAUCGGGGAUAACAUUCGUGAAGUGAAUGGAAAGUUGGAAAGUCUCACCAAAUAUUUCGAAUACAUAAACACCAAUUUAAACUUAAGAAUUAAAAAAAUGUAUUAACCAAAACUCUUAGGGGAAAUAAAAAGCUUAAUUGGAGGAUCUCCAUAAUCGAAUGCAGAAGACUAAGGAAAAAGUCAAUGAACUUGAAAACAGAACACGAAUACCUACAUAAUCUGAACUAUAGAGAGAAAGGAGGAUUUUAUUGUCUCUGAACAGAGGCUCAGGCACAAAUAAAAAAUAACAAAUCCAACAUUCACAUUAUUGUAAUCUGGAAAGAAGAGGACAAAGUGGUCUUUGUGGGAUAAAACUUUGAACAAUUAAUAGCUGAAAAUGGUUCAAAUUUGUCAAAAGAUAUAAACCAGAUUUUUAAAGUUCAGUAAAUGUCAAUCAGGAUAAACCCAAAGAAACCCAUAGCAAGGCAUAUCAUAAUCAAACUGCUGAAAACUAAGAAAAUACAAAACAAUUUUGAAAGCAGCCAAAGGGAAAUGAAAGAGAAACUACCAAAUGAAUGAUUGUAGAUUUCGCAUCAGGAACCAUAGGGGCCAGAAAAAAUGUCAUAACAUUCGGUAAGUAACAAAAGAAAAAGACAUAUCGACCCAGAAUGCUAUGUGGAGCAAAAGUAUCUUCCAGACAUAAAGGCAAAUAAAUGCAUUCUCAGUGGAAGGUAAGUAAAUACAUUCUCAUUCUUAGGAAGACUGCUGGAAAAGAAUUAGCAAAGAUUUGAGAUAAGAAAAAUGAUACCAGAAGGAAACUUAGAACAUCAUCAGUGAAGGAACAAAAGCAGAAAUAGAACAUGUCUGGGUAGACAUAACAGACUAUUAUUCUUCCCUUGAGUUCCUUAAGGAGACUACGGAAAAGAAGAGUGACUAAGAUCUCUGAAGAAGGGAAAAGCUAGAUGACUGGGCCACAAGAGGAAAAAAAGCAGCAAGACAGAGAUUUGUUGGUGCCAACUAAAUGAGCCCAACAGCCAGUGACAACAGAACUGCACUAAAAAAAGUCCCUCAUCAGCUCUUGAGAGCAGGUUCCUUAAAGGUGAACAAUAUUCCACAUACAAGGACUUUUUCAGCACCAUGCAUUAGAAAUGGAAGUGAAUGUUUAUUAUUUUUUGUAUAAGUUGGUUGAUACGGCUUUUCAGCUUCCCUCAGUAUCAUUAUCCAAAUUUUGUAGAUGACACUAAAGCUCAGAGGAGUUAAACCAUUUUCCUCAAAUCACAUAGUUUUAAAUAGGAAAACCAGAUAUGAAAAGCAGAUUUUUUUCUAAAUUAAAAAAAAAAAAAAAACUUGAGCUCUUGCUUUACCCUAGCACAUAGUCUCACCAUCUGUUUUCUCCAUGCCAGGUCAUUCAUGUAACAUUCAUUCACAUAACAAAUACAAAUAAAUGAGUGGAUUCAUUCAUCAGCUAUUAAUUCAGAAUCUCUUUUGUGUCUACCACACUAGGCUCAAGACUUCCCAGUGUCUUUGUCUCCUCUCCCUCAAAUCUCUCCACCCAAUGUCUUGACAAAUACUGUAGAUCCUUCCUGCACAGCAUCACCAGAAUGUUUUUCUUUCUUUUCAUUCACCUCUGUCAUCAUCCAUGCUAUGGUGUUUAUGGAGGAUGUAUUCUGCAGCAGGAAGUGUGAUGGGCACUGACGCUGCAGAAAGACUCCUGUUGUCCACCUCGGGAGCUGACACGAUAAAUGCGGAGAAUGAGUAGCCACUGCACCUUGCCCUGGGCCAUCAGUGAGAAGAUCUGCUCUUAGUAGAGCCCUGCUUUCCCGCUGAAGGCCCUGAAAUCCCCUGUGUUCCAGGCCACCCACUAAGGAUCAAUAAAGCUCCCCUGAUGUGGGGGAAUUAGCUCAAGUGGUAGAGCGCUUGCUUAGCAUGCAAGAGGUAGUGGGAUCGAUGCCCACAUUCUCCAAACUUUAUUAUUUAGACCCUGGGUCUCCAAACACUCAGGUCUCCAAACCCAAGUCAGAGAACAGGAUGCUGCUUUGGUUCAAGAUGUAGGAGCAGCAACAAUACAGGGCUGGUGACGGCUCCCUCCUGGCAUUCAGUAUAGUGUAGAUCUACCGUGUAAUUAAUUUUCUGCUUCUUUGAGGAGCUGUGAAACCAAGGGACAUAAACAAUUGCUCUUUUCUCCCUGUUUCUGCCUGUAGCUUGAAUGUGAGGCAACUGUGAAAAGUGCAGGGCAGAGCCACCUGGGUAAAUACAGCCCUGGCUUUCUGGUGAGAGGACUGAAACCAGGAUGUGUCAAGUAACUAGAAUGUGCCUGGACAGAUACUGUAGAAAGCAAACCCAUAAAGUUGUUCAUGAGCUUGUGGACGCACCUGCCAGCUGUGAAUAAGUGGGUCUAAUCCCAAACAACUUACCUAAAAAGAGCCUGAGGACUGAACUAAACAAUGGUCCACUUUCCAGUCCUCACUGACCACUGGUUGCACACACUCCAGAGAUCUCUCAUCCGCAGUGUCAAGGCUUUCAAAUAGAGUUAUCUGUGAAACAACAACACAUGGAAGUCUGGUUGGUACUUGGAGCUUAAAUACAAGGCAAUUGUGUGCCUGCAAAAACAAAAAGAGCAAUAUUAUCCUUAAGAUUUCAACAAGACACAGUGUCUCAUCACAUAAUCCAAAGAAGUCCAGGUUACAAGCCCCAAAAUAUUCAGCAUUAUGAAAAACCAGGGAGAUCUUAAUUCACAUGGCAAAGAGAAUCCUUGCAUAACAAUAUUGAGAGGACACAUAUGUCAAAAUCAUCUGACACAUACAUUAAAGCAGUUAUUAUAACAAUGCUCCUAGAAUUACGGGAUAGCAUUCAUGAAGUGAAUGGAAAGUUGGAAAGUCUCACCAAAUAUUUGGAAUAUGUAAACACCAAUUUAAACUUAAGAAUUAAAAAAAGUAUUAACCAAAACUAUUAGGGGAAAUAAAAAGCUUAAUUGGAUGAUCUCAAUAGCAGUAUGCAGAAGACUAAGGAAAAAGUCAAUGAACUUGAAAACGGAACAAGAAUACCUACAGAAUCUGACCUAUAGAAAGAAAGGAGGAUUUUAUUGUCCCUGAACAGAGGCUCAGGGACAAAUAAAAAAUAACAAAUCUAACAUUCACAUUAUUGUAAUCUGGAAACAUUCACAUUAUUGUAAGAGGACAAAGAGGUCUUUGUGGGAUAAAACUGUGAAGAAUUAAUGGCUGAAAAUGUAUCAAAUUUCUCAAAAGAUAUAAACCAGAUUUUUAAAGUUCAGUAAAUGUCAAGCAGGAUAAACCAAAAGAAACCCAUUGCAAGACAUAUCAUAAUCAAACUGCGGAAAAUUAAGAAAACACAAAACAAUUUUGAAAGCAGCCAAAGGGAAAUGAAAGAUAAAAUACCAAAUGAAUGAUUGUAGAUUUCUCAUCGGGAACCCAGGAGCCAGAAAAAAAUGUCAUAACAUUCAGUAAAUACCAAAGGAAAAAUACAUUAUCAACCCAGAAUGGUAUGUGGAGCAAAAGUAUCUUCCAGACAUAAAGGCAAAUAAAUGCAUUCUCAUUGGAAGGUAAAUAAAUACAUUCUCAGUCCUAGCAAAACUGCUGGAAAAGAAUUAGCAAAGGUUUGAGAUAAGAAAAGUGAUACCAGAAGGAAACUUAGAACAUCAUCAAUGAAGGAACAAAAGCAGAAAUAGAAAAUGUCUGGGUAGACAUAACAGACUAUUAUUCUUCUCUUGAGUUCCUUAAGACAAUGAGUAGCCACUGCUGUUUGCCCUGGCCCAUCAAUGAGAAGAUCUGCUCUUAGAGCCCUGCUUUCCUGCUGAAGGCCCUGAAAUCACCUGUGUUCCAGGCCACCUGCUAACAAUAAAUAAUGCUGCCCUGAUGUGGGGAAUUAGCUCAAGUGGUAGAGCGCUUGCUUAGCACGCAAGAGGUAGUGGGAUCGAUGCCCACAUUCUCCAAGCUUUAUUAUUUAGACAUCGUGUCUCCAAACACUCAGGUCUCCAAACCCAAGUUAGUGUCUGAGAACAGGAUGCUGCUUUGGUUCAAGACGUAGGAGCAGCAAUAAUAGAGGGCUGGUGAUGGCUCCCUCUUGGCAUUCAGUAUAGUGUAGAUCUACCAUGUAAUUAAUUCUCUGUUUCUUUGAGGAGCUGUGAAACCAAGGGACAUAUACAACUGCUCUUUUCUCCCUGUUUCUACCUGCAGCUUUGUCCUAAAUGUGAGACAAUUAUGAAAAGUGCAGCGCAGAGCCACUUGGGUAAAUACAGCCCCGGCUUUCUGCUCAGGGGACAGAGUUUGAGGCACUGCAGAGGAACCGGCCAAAGUAUGAGACCCAUAUAUUGAGAGUAACAGAGUGUAAAGUUCAAAAAAAUCAAAAUAUUUAAAGAUUUAUCAUGGGUCUUGAUGACAUGAUGGAAUCUCUCUACUCUCUGGACUUAUUAUGUGUGGUAAUAAAUUUACUUUUUAAAAGCCA